UCAACAGCUUUGAUAAGCAGGAGUAGGCGAUAAGCUUCGUUCAGAGAGAAAACGGUCGGUGCAAGUUUUCCGAAGUCUUGCCGAAGGUCGGCUUUGAGCUGCCGUGGUGAAUUUUGAGUAAGCACGGUCGGGAGCUCCCGUUACAGAGCCCAUGAGAGCCGCUUUUUGCGGAAUUCAGGUGGUACCACGCAUAUAAUUGCGCCCUGAUC
This 209-nucleotide non-coding RNA is filed under the name Bacillota bacterium. RNAcentral describes it as "Firmicutes bacterium T-box sequence". It matches the Rfam family "T-box leader". From Rfam's summary of the family: Uncharged tRNA acts as the effector for transcription antitermination of genes in the T-box leader family. T-boxes are found upstream of many aminoacyl-tRNA synthetase genes and some amino acid biosynthetic genes usually in Gram-positive bacteria. Lineage: Bacteria; Bacillati; Bacillota. The record is from RNAcentral.